GUCCAUCUAAAGUGCUGGAACUUCCCACUACAUCUCUUGGUCAAUAUAGCAAUCAAUAUAGUUGGGUAAAAAGGUUUGAGGUGUCUACUGCUAAGUGGAAGUUACAGGAUGCUGAAGCCCCCAGAUGUCUCACAAUGUCCUUAUUGGCUAGAGGAAAUGAAAAACCACAUAGAUGAAUCAGCGGGAUGAGGAGUCCAAAGAUCUACUUCUAUGAUUGUAAAAUCAACAAGACAAUUCAUGGUUUUCUCUUA
Long non-coding RNA from Antechinus flavipes (yellow-footed antechinus), 251 nucleotides. RefSeq lists it as uncharacterized. NCBI's taxonomy places the organism in Eukaryota, Metazoa, Chordata, Mammalia, Dasyuromorphia, Dasyuridae. The transcript is spliced from 3 exons. The record is from RefSeq and is a predicted model, not a curated record.